RNAcentral lists this ribosomal RNA (255 nucleotides) under uncultured bacterium. RNAcentral's name for it is "partial 16S ribosomal RNA". It matches the Rfam family "Bacterial small subunit ribosomal RNA", at positions 524 to 778 of the family's 1533-position model. The record is from RNAcentral.
UACGAAGGGGGCUAGCGUUGCUCGGAAUCACUGGGCGUAAAGGGUGCGUAGGCGGGUCUUUUAAGUCAGGGGUGAAAUCCUGGAGCUCAACUCCAGAACUGCCUUUGAUACUGAGGAUCUUGAGUUCGGGAGAGGUGAGUGGAACUGCGAGUGUAGAGGUGAAAUUCGUAGAUAUUCGCAAGAACACCAGUGGCGAAGGCGCUCACUGGCCCGAUACUGACGCUGAGGCACGAAGGCCAGGGGAGCAAACCGGGG